RNAcentral lists this ribosomal RNA (496 nucleotides) under uncultured bacterium. Its description in RNAcentral is "partial 16S ribosomal RNA". It matches the Rfam family "Bacterial small subunit ribosomal RNA", at positions 28 to 507 of the family's 1533-position model. The record is from RNAcentral.
GAUGAACGCUGGCGGCGUGCCUAAUACAUGCAAGUCGAGCGAACAGACGAGGAGCUUGCUCCUCUGACGUUAGCGGCGGACGGGUGAGUAACACGUGGAUAACCUACCUAUAAGACUGGGAUACUUCGGGAAACCGGAGCUAAUACCGGAUAAUAUAUUGAACCGCAUGGUUCAAUAGUGAAAGACGGUUUUGCUGUCACUUAUAGAUGGAUCCGCGCCGCAUUAGCUAGUUGGUAAGGUAACGGCUUACCAAGGCGACGAUGCGUAGCCGACCUGAGAGGGUGAUCGGCCACACUGGAACUGAGACACGGUCCAGACUCCUACGGGAGGCAGCAGUAGGGAAUCUUCCGCAAUGGGCGAAAGCCUGACGGAGCAACGCCGCGUGAGUGAUGAAGGUCUUCGGAUCGUAAAACUCUGUUAUUAGGGAAGAACAAAUGUGUAAGUAACUAUGCACGUCUUGACGGUACCUAAUCAGAAAGCCACGGCUAACUACGUG